RNAcentral lists this ribosomal RNA (460 nucleotides) under uncultured bacterium. Its description in RNAcentral is "partial 16S ribosomal RNA". It matches the Rfam family "Bacterial small subunit ribosomal RNA", at positions 338 to 795 of the family's 1533-position model. The record is from RNAcentral.
CCUACGGGAGGCAGCAGUGAGGCAUAUUGGUCAAUGGGCGCAAGCCUGAACCAGCCAAGUCGCGUGAGGGAUGACGGUCCUAUGGAUUGUAAACCUCUUUUGUCGGGGAGCAAGGCCCGCCACGUGUGGCGGGCCGUAUAGUACCCGCAGACAAAGCCUCGGCUAACUCCGUGCCAGCAGCCGCGUUAAUACGGAGGAUGCGAGCGUUAUCCGGAUUUAUUGGGUUUAAAGGGUGCGCAGGCGGAAGAUCAAGUCAGCGGUAAAAUUGAGAGGCUCAACCUCUUCGAGCCGUUGAAACUGGUGUUCUGGAGGGAGCGAGAAGUAGGCGGAAUGCGUGGUGUAGCGGUGAAAUGCAUAGAUAUCACGCAGAACUCCGAUUGCGAAGGCAGCAUACCGGCGCUCAACUGACGCUCAUGCACGAAAGUGUGGGUAUCGAACAGGAUUAGAUACCCGGGUAGUC